RNAcentral lists this ribosomal RNA (448 nucleotides) under Staphylococcus aureus. RNAcentral's name for it is "bacterial SSU rRNA". It matches the Rfam family "Bacterial small subunit ribosomal RNA", at positions 1042 to 1490 of the family's 1533-position model. The record is from RNAcentral. Lineage: Bacteria; Bacillati; Bacillota; Bacilli; Caryophanales; Staphylococcaceae.
UGCAUGGUUGUCGUCAGCUCGUGUCGUGAGAUGUUGGGUUAAGUCCCGCAACGAGCGCAACCCUUAAGCUUAGUUGCCAUCAUUAAGUUGGGCACUCUAAGUUGACUGCCGGUGACAAACCGGAGGAAGGUGGGGAUGACGUCAAAUCAUCAUGCCCCUUAUGAUUUGGGCUACACACGUGCUACAAUGGACAAUACAAAGGGCAGCGAAACCGCGAGGUCAAGCAAAUCCCAUAAAGUUGUUCUCAGUUCGGAUUGUAGUCUGCAACUCGACUACAUGAAGCUGGAAUCGCUAGUAAUCGUAGAUCAGCAUGCUACGGUGAAUACGUUCCCGGGUCUUGUACACACCGCCCGUCACACCACGAGAGUUUGUAACACCCGAAGCCGGUGGAGUAACCUUUUAGGAGCUAGCCGUCGAAGGUGGGACAAAUGAUUGGGGUGAAGUCGUA